Long non-coding RNA from Passer domesticus (house sparrow), 5075 nucleotides. RefSeq lists it as uncharacterized. The record is from RefSeq and is a predicted model, not a curated record. Lineage: Eukaryota; Metazoa; Chordata; Aves; Passeriformes; Passeridae. The transcript has 2 exons.
CCGCUCCUCGGGCAGGCAAAGGGGAACGGGGCUCGGUGUGAGCGGGGGAACAGGUAGCGGUGUGGGGAAGGUAUGUGCACUCGCGAAUUGAAGAUGGAGGUACAGAGAUAAAGAGUAUUGCACCCUUAGUCAGUCGAAAAAUAUCCCCGUUCCCUUCACUGAAAUGACUGUGUUGUCGUUUGAGGAGAUACCCCCAAUUUUUGUAUGCUCUUUCCAGGAGAUAACUCCAAUUUCUUUAUAAUCUUUCCAAGAGAUAACCCCAAUUUCUGUAUUUUGGGAAGUAGUGAACAAUUGCCCCUCUGAAUGAUCCCUUCUACACAGUAUUCACAAUUUUCUUAUAUAUUGGUUACAUGCUUCUCCCUCUGUCCUGUCUUUCCCAGAGUCAAGAUUCCAGAUCUGGUUUAUUCUGCUUUCAUGCAGGACAUUCCUUUUCACCCUGCUCAAUCAUUUCUGUUUAAAGUCUUUCAACUGUGCAGCCAGAGCCACAAGUGAUAGGAAAGAACCACUCAGCAGAAUAAAGAUAUUUUCCGUUUUGAUCUCAACCCCUUUUCUGGGGAUUCCUGACAUGCCUUUCUGAUCGGGGCUGAAGGCUGGGCUCCCUCUCUUGAAUCACAAAUACCUGAUCUUGAGCCUAGCCUGGCUGUUGUGCCUCCUCUGUGGCACUUUCAAAUAGUAAAUCUAAUGUUUUACACCUGAACAGCUCAGCACAGGACCUCCUCACCAUCCUCAACCCGCUCUCCUUGUGCUCACCAACUCCAUCAGAAAUGUCCUCUUGGACUUCAGGAGCAUGACUGCUCCCAAAAAGAUGUCUUGGCUCUUGGCCACUGUACACAUACAUCUGGCUGAGGUUUAUACUACAGCCCAAAGCAAAUUUUAUUCUGUCUCAGCUAGAUUUCUGUAGGAGGCAGCUCCUUGGGUCAGUUUUGGAGGCUUUCUGACAAGAUUGGCAUCAGGUUUGCAACAUUUCCUUCCUUAAAUGCAAGGUUGGAUUUUCUUGAAAUGUAUUUUGUCUACAUGUUCUGAUAACUAUAGAAAGUGUUGGUAGCUCAUGAGCAAGAAAUUCUGAAUGCCAAAGUACUGGCUGAAAAUAUAAAUAUUUAAUUUUUUUCCUUAAAAGAUUGGUAUUUCCAUUGCUAAAUUAUAUAUUCCACAAAAAGUCCUUAAAACAAUGUUCCCUUAUGUGCUUGCACAUACACACAGGAAACCUUACCACCGAGUUGGCUGAAGGGGGCUUUUGUCUAGAAAUUGCUUAUAGAAAUUUAAUAUUGUCUGCAUGGUUAUCAGCUCAGAUAAUCUACACCUGAAACUUUAGAUUUUUCAAUGCAUAUAACAAUGCUCAUUCUUCCUGAGGAAGGUUUUCCUGAAGCACCAGGUCUCUAAUGAAUUUUGAGGGAGACUGUGGUCCUGGAUAAAUGUUGGAGAGAACAUGUGUGCACAAGCACUGUGGAAACUUGUCAGUUAUUUGUUUUCUUACACUUGCUUUCUUCUUUUUAGAAGAAAUAUUAUUCCACACAUACACUAACACAGAAAAAGGGUUUUGUCCUCAUUUUUCAUGCACGUUUUCUUGCAUGACCAGAAGAAAAGCUGACUGAAUGAGGUAAUUAUUCAGAUAGCACAUUAAUCAUUAAUCAUAUGAAUUCCCUUUAACUGGGAGUAGCACAUUUCCAUGACAAAUUCAGAACAUCUGCUAACUCAGGCAGAACACUGGACAUGGUCUUUGUGCAACACUGAACCUGGAGCUGAAACCACGUGUUAUGGAGAGUUUAAAGAGCUCCUGGCCUAGAGGAGGGAGGCAGGGGCAGGCUGAAGGGAGAUGCCCUUGCAGCUGUCCCUGUGGACACCCCCAGGGGUGCAGGAUGCUCGAGGCUCCUGCUGACAGCAGUGCCCACAAAGCUGGGGGUGAUCCCAGGGUAGGCAGGGACCUGCGUGCAAGCCAGGACAGUCAGUGUUUGCUCAGCCCCGCAGUGCCCUGCUCCUCUGUGCUUUGGCAGGGGGUGUUUGUCCCUGAAGCACAGUGGCUGCCACUCAGAGAGGUUAUCCUCAGUGCCAGCUGUGGACUGGGAGCAGGUGAGUCACUCCCAGCCAGGCUGAGGCACCUCUCUGCUUAUGCACAGCUGAGCCUGUGCUGCAGCUCCUUCUGCUGCUUUGAGCAGCCUGGCCUUGUGGAAGGUGUCCCUGGAACUUUUAAUGUUUUAAUGUCCCAUCCAACCCAAACUGUUCUAGGAUUCUAUGAUUCUGUGAUUUUUACCAAACUGGACUGAGCUGGGACCCCAAGCAAAGCUGCUUUUGGGCAGUGGUACUGGCAAGGGCAUCUUUGCUCUCAGGAGUACUUUCCAGCACGCUGCCACAUCCAAAAGCUUGGGGCUCUUAUCUCCGCCUGCUGCUGUCAAAUACAGUUCUGUUUGUGGAGAGCUGUGCACACACCUCCAUCUCCCAGCUGGCAAGGCAUCUCCUUUUACUGGUGACAGGCAGCAGUGACAUAUGGAGAGCUGGGAAGGGACCCAUCCUUUCUGCUGCUCUGAGUCCCAGCCUGGCUUGUAGCCACUCACAAGUGCUGGUCAGAGGGAGAUAAGUGUGGUUUCGAUUAGGGAUGAGGAAUUCUCUUCCCCCUGCCAAGAGGGAAGCAGGGAGAUUGUGUCAUCCUGAACACUCUGGAUUCUGUCCCCUUCUCAACUACAAACCUUUUUUUUUCUUUCUUUUCACAGAGCACCACUCUCUUUUGACCAGUUUACAUAGUUUCCACAGCAGGUUUAUAAUGCUUCCAAUAAAAAGGAAGGAAUUUCCCACUGUCUUACCUGGAGUGUAUUUAUUCUUGGAGAGCAUUGCAGUGAAGGAACUGGGACAGACUCAGGAACUUAUGGUAGAUUCACGCUUAACUGCUCUGGGAAUUAAAGAAUCAAACUCAGCAGAGACAGAGUAUGUUAGAGAUAGAAAGGAGUUAUUAAUUCCAUAUCCAUCUGUAAAUAAUUUCUGGGCUAGGAUGCAUUUCACUGUAAGUUCGCUUUCAAAUUCUCUUUACAUAUUCCUUUUAAAUUCUUUUAAAAUAUUAACCUGUUAGUAACAAAUAAUGGCUUAAGCUCAGCCCUGCUGGACAAGGUACAAGUGAAAUUAAACCUCACUUCUGCAACCAGAGUCACUGGUACCACAUUCCAAUGCUCGGUGUCUCUUUGAGGGGCUGAGUCACACAAGCAGAGCCCAGUAAAUUAAAAAAGCAAUGUACAAAUAGUCUGAAGCAAUGUGUAAGUGACGGUAGGAGGACAACUUCAUGGCUAGAGCAACCAGACAGACCCAGGCUGUGGGAAGACAUGUCAGGGGGCACAUAGCAGAAAUAGUUUUUCCCUCCAGGAGCUACCAAACAAGCCUGUUUCUGUAGGCAGCAAAACAUGAGUGCUUGCUCUGCAGGAAUGUGCAUGGCAGAUGAAUUAGAGACCAGAAACAAACACACCAGAAACAGACAUGGAGGGCCCCACUGUGAGCAGCUGAAAAGCUCUUCUCUUCCCUUCCUUGUCCAGGACCUGGGGAGGGUUUGCUAGAGGAGAAGCACUCCAGGAAGAGCUAGGCAGUGAAGGGAAUCCUCUGGUCUUUUCAUUAUCUGUAUCUAUAUCAUCCAUAUCAUAUAAUCAUAUCAUAUCAUAUCAUAUCAUAUCAUACCAUCAUAUAAUACAAUAUAAUCUCUCUAUCUAUUUACUUUUAUUUAUUUAGGGAACUCUUCUGACAAAUGCCUGAAGUAGCUGCUAUCCCAUGAGAAGAUCUCUCUCCAGACCUACAGGCAAGACCCAGCUGAUGCAGUUCCAUGGUGCUGCACAGAGCUGGGACCGACUGCCCUCAGCCUCCAGCAGCAGGCAUCUAACAUAUCUGACAUAUCUGACAUAUCUAACAUAUCUAACACAUCCCCCCAGAUCCCAGCCUGGCUGAGCACCAGCCAGCAGUCAGGGCAGACAUUCCAUGAGCAGCUCUCAAACUCCAUCCAAGACCUUUCCUGGAGAGAGAUGAGCAGCCCUGUCCACUGCACCGAGCUCUUCCUCUGCCACAAUUCCUGGAGAGCAGGAGAAGCAGCAGUGUCUGGAGCUGGGUGAGCUGCAGCCACGCUCCCACCCAGGCAAGGCUGACUGUCCCACAAGCUCAGGAGGUUUUGGCUGAGAUGAGCCAGCUCAGCAGGACAUGCUUGAAGCUGAGAGCAGAGCAAUGCUGUAAAAGCCAGCUGCAGUAUGGCAGCAAAGGUGUUCUUCUCUGUCUUGGCAUGAGGACUCAUUGCUCCCAUUGCCUGGUUCAUUUUCCACACAGCAGCUAUUGGUAAGACCUGGAAAGAGCAGGAGGUUUCCCUGGCAGAGGUAGCUGUGCAGGUGAUAUGUGGUUGUACUGCUGAUGAGUCUGAGUGGAGCAUUUGCCCAAAGCCAUGACCAAGCUGCUGAGUUUUGACGGUUCCAUCAUCAGCUCAUGGCACCCAGCUCAGCCCCACCAUGCUUCAUGGUCAUGUCACAGAAUGGUUUGGGUUGGAAGGGACCUUAGGGAUUCUCUCAUUCCACCCUCUUGUCAUGGGCAGGACACCUUCCACUAGAUCAGUGUGCUCAGGGCUCCAUCCAAACUGGCCUUGAACACUCCCAAGGAUGGGGCAUCCAACAUUCUCUGGGCAAUCUGUUGCAACCUCACAGUAAAGAAUGAGAAGGUGUUGGGAAAAGGGAGAAGGUGUUGGCCAGGAGGAAUCUUUUCAACACUUGAGACAGGAUUUAUUCCUUUGAGCUUGACAUUUUCCUUCUCAGUUCUCUGCCUGGGCAGCCCCCUUGGGCAUCCGAAGUGAGCUGUGGCUUGUCAUCCAGUGAGAACCUGAGAUCAGGUGUACACAGUCCCACUGCAGACAUCCACAUUUAGGUAAAAUAACCCCCCACUCUUGUGUUCCAGUCUUGUGUAAAGCCAGACACCAGGGAGAGCCUCUUCAGCUUGUGGAAGCUGGAUGUCUAACUCUCUAGAAACAUAAAUGGCAAACUGCACCGUGGCUUUUGUAAAUCACCUUGAAAAUCUCAGUCAUUGUGAGUAAUUAAAAUAUUCAGUUCUAAAAUUAAAUUUAAAUGGUAUAA